AGAACGAACGCUGGCGGCGUGGAUAAGACAUGCAAGUCGAACGAAGUAUUUUUGUAGCAAUACCGAAAUGCUUAGUGGCAAACGGGUGCGUAACACGUAGGUUACAUUCCGGAAAGUGAGGGAUAGCCCAGGGAAACUUGGAUUAAUACCUCAUGUGAUCGCAAGAUCAAAGGUGCAAACCGCUUUCCGAUUGGCCUGCGCCCUAUCAGCUAGUUGGUGAGGUAAUGGCUCACCAAGGCAACGACGGGUAGCUGGUCUGAGAGGACGACCAGCCACACUGGAACUGAGACACGGUCCAGACACCUACGGUGGCAGCAGUCGAGAAUCUUUCACAAU
This 336-nucleotide ribosomal RNA is filed under the name uncultured bacterium. RNAcentral's name for it is "SSU rRNA". It matches the Rfam family "Bacterial small subunit ribosomal RNA", at positions 26 to 372 of the family's 1533-position model. The record is from RNAcentral.